CAUCUGAGAUAAUGAACGAAGAAACCCAAAAAAAUAUUAGGGAGCUAGCUUUCUCUGCAGCCUCAAGUUUCUCCGUUUUCAACUUUUCGAGUUUCUUUCUAGCUUAUUUUUAAGCUUUUUAAGGCAGUGAGAUUUCCAUGACCCCAUUUGGUUUAUCAUUACGCGAUCAUAAAGCAAUGCACUUGGUGAAAGGGCUCGAAUGGAGUUCUGCAACAAAGGAAAAGCAGCUUCUCGAGGAUAUAUAUGCAUCAUUCGGAAUCUCCAGAAAAGUACACGUACAUGGCGACUCUCAGAUCGAUCUGGCAUGCAUAUUUUGAUGAUUAAAAAUGAUCAUUUCAUGCUCAACACAACCUAGCUUUUAGCGCAGAUCGUUAUAUCGAUCCUGUCUUUCAACAUGUACCAACUCGAUCGAUCCAGCAGAUUGGUCUAAGUUGCUGCAUUCUAACAAGCGGCUUUCAUACAAGUGAAUGAUCCUGCUUCGGAAUUCAGAUUAUGCAUGCAUAUACAAGUUCAGGUACUGGUAGAUCACUAUUGUGUUUGAUCGACAUUAACCCUGUGAGAAUCAUUCUGGAUGAAAGAGGAAGACAUGAGCACCGCAGAUUCCCAGCCACCGAAAGCCUGAGCAGAAGAAUCAGCAGGUGGUGCAAUCCCAUUAGGAUGUUGCAUUCCUUGUAAUGGCUGCGAAUGGUGCUGGCCUGCUGCAGCAGCAGCAAACGGAUCCUCAUUGAUCAGAGAGUUCAGAAACGAAGAGAAGACGUCGUCGGUGCAACAGUUCAUGUCUUCAUCCUCCUCAUUUCCAAUUAGUAGGUUGCUUCUCAGACCUCCCAUUCCUGCUGCAGACCCAUUAGAGUCAUUGGAGGUCAUAACAUUACCGUAGCCGUUGGCUCCGUGGACUAUAGCUCCCAGAUCAUCAUCAUUGGUAACAUGGUACCCAUUUUCCCUCGCACUGGGAGCUGCUUCCUCAGGUGAUGAAGAAGUAAUUGGACUUUUAGGGCUAGGGUUUGAGCUCGUGCCUCCCCGAUGCUGAUUGGUCUUGGAUGAAGAAGCAGCUGCUCCAUUAUUGUUGACAGCAGCAUGGUCAGCAGAAGAGGUAUCUGGAUUGAGUGGCUUGUGGGUUCUUGGAUCUAUGCCCUGACUGAUCAGCUUCUUGCUCAGGUGAGUGUUCCAGUAGUUCUUUAUCUCAUUGUCUGUACGCCCCGGAAUCCUCCCAGCUAUCAGAGACCAUCUACAGUUACGACGGUUGGAUAUAUUCAUCGAUCAUCUCAUUCAAUUGGAAAACAUUAGAAACCCUAACACCCGGAAUAGAUAGACAUACCUAUUGCCGAGGAGGCGGUGGAGGCGGAGGAUGAGAUCUUCUUCAUCUGCGGCGAUCUGGCCCCGCUUGACGGAAGGUCGGAGGUAGUUCAUCCAGCGGAGACGGCAGCUCUUGCCGCAGCGGAGGAGGCCGGCGCGCUUCGGGAGGGUUCUCCACCGGCCCUCGCCUUCUUUCUUGAUGUAAUUAGCUAAGAGCUCAUCUUCCUCGGGAGUCCAGGGACCUCUCUUCAGACCCACCUUGACGCAGCACGGCGUCUUGCUCGAGGAAGACGAUACUGCUGCUGUUUUGGGUGCAGCUGCUGAUGAUGAUGAUUUUCCUUUGGAGGAAGAUGAGGUCGAAGAUGGGUUCCUCAUUUUUUGAUGAAGAUAGUGAAUCGAAUCGAGCUGGGUUUCGUUGUGACUAUUCUGGAUGAGAUGAAGAUUUGUUUCUGUUCGUUGUUUCUGGCGACGGAAUUGGGGAGAUGGGGGGUGUUGAUAAUUCAGGGUUUCUGGUUUUGCUUCUAUGUUUUUGUUUGUUUCUUAGAUGGACAGGAUAUAGCGAUCGGGGGAUAUGGUUUCCUCACGCGCCUGUCGACCCGGUGAUAUCACGCGCAGAGCAGCAGUCAAUUUCUGCUUUAUUGGGUAGUAGUAUGAGACUAUUAGUCUUCGUUUUGCUUUACUCUCAUAGUGGAUAUGCUCCCCAUUUGUGUGGAUAAUUUCCAUUAGCACACUUGUCUUGUAUGGGAAGGAAUUAAGGAUGCUUUCAUUAUGUAUUUAACUAUAUAUACAGUAUCAAUAUCAAAUAUUAAUAUCAAUAUCAAAAUCAAUCAA
Molecule: long non-coding RNA, 2124 nt
Organism: Rosa chinensis
Lineage: Eukaryota; Viridiplantae; Streptophyta; Magnoliopsida; Rosales; Rosaceae
Exons: 3
Source: RefSeq, a predicted model, not a curated record